GAGGGUAUAGCUCAAGUGGUAGAGCACAUGUUUAGCAUGCACAAGGUCCUGGAUUCAAUCCCCAGUACCUCCU
RNAcentral lists this transfer RNA (73 nucleotides) under Camelus bactrianus (Bactrian camel). It matches the Rfam family "tRNA". Rfam says of the family: Transfer RNA (tRNA) molecules are approximately 80 nucleotides in length. Their secondary structure includes four short double-helical elements and three loops (D, anti-codon, and T loops). Further hydrogen bonds mediate the characteristic L-shaped molecular structure. tRNAs have two regions of fundamental functional importance: the anti-codon, which is responsible for specific mRNA codon recognition, and the 3' end, to which the tRNAs corresponding amino acid is attached (by aminoacyl-tRNA synthetases). tRNAs cope with the degeneracy of the genetic code in two manners: having more than one tRNA (with a specific anti-codon) for a particular amino acid; and 'wobble' base-pairing, i.e. permitting non-standard base-pairing at the 3rd anti-codon position. RNAcentral also lists the same sequence under 1 other name. Lineage: Eukaryota; Metazoa; Chordata; Mammalia; Artiodactyla; Camelidae. The record is from Rfam by way of RNAcentral.